GGUGAUAACUGAGAAAGGGGCAGGUGUUACCAUGUACUUGAAUUGACCUAGAUGCAGUACAGAGCACCACUGGAUUUUAAAACAACCAAUUUUUAUGGCUCCAAAAAUAAUGUAAAAAUUCUAGGGAAAAAAUUAUAGAUAAUCCACUACUCAGAGAUCACAACUCUUAACCUUAGAGUUGCUCCUUUUAGCUUUAUUUUUCUUCUGCAAAUGUCUGUGUAUUUAUUUACAUUUUCUUUUAUAGACUCGGAUCAUUAUAUAUAUAAACAUAAAAAUAUAGUUUCGGAUCCUAUUUUAGCACUAAUUAUAUCUUCCGAGACACUCAAAUUUUUUCCCUUUGUUAAACUAGUGAUACAUCCUUAUUUAUAAAAUUAGAAAAUACCAAAAUGCACAAAAAAAGAAAAAAUCAUGAUGCUACCAUCCAAUAUGACUCUUGGCAGCCCUUUCCACAUAUUAAUUAUAACCGAAGCUUACCCUAUUCUGAUCCUUACUUUCAAUCUAUCUGCAAUACGGGGGCAGAUAGCCUUCUGGCAUAUUGUUAUCCACGAGAGCCUCAUUUCUGACACCCUUCCACCCCUCAGCAAUUUUUUGAAGUUUGGAGUGACCCUGACAUCCUUCAGCUUUUAGCACUCUCUCCUUACCUUCUGAGCUGUUCUUCACUCUGUGGCCAGAGUCUGUCUUGCCUUUGGUGGGUAGGGCACUGGAGUGCCUAAGGAUUAAUGAACUGUCUCUGUCUUUUUAUCCACCUGGUUUUCCUUUUAGCCACCUGGCAGUGGUAGAUUGGUAAAACCGGAGGGAAAGUUCUGUCAGUUUGCAGACCAAGUGUGGGACGUGCCCAGAUACUGAGUCAUUGCUUUGUCAGUGUUAUCUAACUAUUGGCCUGAAGACUGGCACCAGCUCACCUAUUUAUUAUUAAAGAGCUUUCAUCCUUAUAUAUAAACUCAAUUGUGCUAGGUAAGAUGAAUGAAUAGAUAACAGUGUCACCAACGUACUUCCUGUUUUAUUUCAGUGAUAAAUUUAUACAAUAUAUUUCUAUAUAAUUUUGUAAUCUUUACUAAGGAACUUUAAAUAAUUUAAAUGGCUCAUACACAGUAAAGAACUUAGAUAUUUUAGAGGUCUGAUUUGGGGGUUGAGAAAAACUGCUAAGACUGGUGGUCACAGUCAGCAUGGUGGCUCACGCCUGUAAUCCCAGCACUUUGGGAGGCCGAGGCAGGUGGAUCAUGAGGUCAGGAGUUCAAGAUCAGCCUGGCCAACAUGGUGAAACCCCGUCUCUACUCAAAAUACAAAAGUUAGCCAGGCAUGGUGGCAUGCGCCUGUAAUUGCAGCUACUUGGGAGGCUGAGGCAGGAGAAUGGCUUGAACCUGGGAGGCGGAGGUUGUGGUGAGCUGAGAUUGCACCACUGCACUCCAGCCUGGGCAACAGAGAGAGACUCUGUCUCAAAAAAAAAAAAAGAAAAGCCAAAAAACUGGUGGUCACAGGGUCUUACUCUAUUCAUAUCUUCCCACAGGAUGCAGUUUGUAUUACCCAAGUAAGUCUCAAUUAGAAUGAAAUAGGCCUUUUCCCCACCAGCUGUAGGUUUGUAAGCUGUAAGCUACUUUUAAGCUGGCCUCCUUCAGGCAUUCAUGCAAAAAUGACAUCUAUUGUAAUCAUUAGCAGGACUUUGGGGAAUAAGACAUAGAAGCCUCAUGUAGCUUAUUCGUAGGGCUCUAUUAGGGCUGCAUUUACCACCUUUCCACUCCUGUGUGGACCCUGGCAGAUGCUUGGAGACAUUUGUUCAUCUGCUGUUUAUCUAGAUCACUUCAGCAUCGGUGAGGUUGGUCUCUCAAGAACCCAAAGCUCUGGUCAGUGAAUGGAAGGAGCCUCAGGCCAAGAACAUCAGUGUGGCCUCCUGCAAUAGCAGCCAGGUGGUGGUGGCUGUGGGCAGGGCCCUCUACUAUCUGCAGAUCCAUCCUCAGGAGCUCCGGCAGAUCAGCCACACAGAGAUGGAACAUGAAGUGGCUUGCUUGGACAUCACCCCAUUAGGAGACAGCAAUGGACUGUCCCCUCUUUGUGCCAUUGGCCUCUGGACGGACAUCUCGGCUCGUAUCUUGAAGUUGCCCUCUUUUGAACUACUGCACAAGGAGAUGCUGGGUGGAGGUAUGUGUCAUUUAGGGACCUGGGUUGGGACAGAGUCAAAAUGUGGAACAAGAACAUAAUGUCCCCCUUUCUCACAGAGAUCAUUCCUCGCUCCAUCCUGAUGACCACCUUUGAGAGUAGCCAUUACCUCCUUUGUGCCUUGGGAGAUGGAGCGCUUUUCUACUUUGGGCUCAACAUUGAGACAGGUCUGUUGAGCGACCGUAAGAAGGUGACUUUGGGCACCCAGCCCACCGUAUUGAGGACUUUUCGUUCUCUUUCUACCACCAACGUCUUUGCUUGUUCUGACCGCCCCACUGUCAUCUAUAGCAGCAACCACAAAUUGGUCUUCUCAAAUGUCAACCUCAAGGAAGUGAACUACAUGUGUCCCCUCAAUUCAGAUGGCUAUCCUGACAGCCUGGCGCUGGCCAACAAUAGCACCCUCACCAUUGGCACCAUCGAUGAGAUCCAGAAGCUGCACAUUCGCACAGUUCCCCUCUAUGAGUCUCCAAGGAAGAUCUGCUACCAGGAAGUGUCCCAGUGUUUCGGGGUCCUCUCCAGCCGCAUUGAAGUCCAAGACACGAGUGGGGGCACGACAGCCUUGAGGCCCAGCGCUAGCACCCAGGCUCUGUCCAGCAGUGUCAGCUCCAGCAAGCUGUUCUCCAGCAGCACUGCUCCUCAUGAGACCUCCUUUGGAGAAGAGGUGGAGGUGCACAACCUACUUAUCAUUGACCAACACACCUUUGAA
Molecule: small RNA, 2860 nt
Filed under: Pan troglodytes (chimpanzee)
Lineage: Eukaryota; Metazoa; Chordata; Mammalia; Primates; Hominidae
Description: retained intron
Source: RNAcentral